Molecule: ribosomal RNA, 579 nt
Filed under: uncultured bacterium
Lineage: Bacteria
Description: bacterial SSU rRNA
Rfam family: Bacterial small subunit ribosomal RNA
Source: RNAcentral
ACGGGUGAGUAACACGUGAGUAACCUGCCCCUGACUCUGGGAUAAGCGUUGGAAACGACGUCUAAUACUGGAUAUGAUCGCCGGCCGCAUGGUCUGGUGGUGGAAAGAUUUUUUGGUUGGGGAUGGACUCGCGGCCUAUCAGCUUGUUGGUGAGGUAAUGGCUCACCAAGGCGACGACGGGUAGCCGGCCUGAGAGGGUGACCGGCCACACUGGGACUGAGACACGGCCCAGACUCCUACGGGAGGCAGCAGUGGGGAAUAUUGCACAAUGGGCGAAAGCCUGAUGCAGCAACGCCGCGUGAGGGAUGACGGCCUUCGGGUUGUAAACCUCUUUUAGUAGGGAAGAAGCGAAAGUGACGGUACCUGCAGAAAAAGCACCGGCUAACUACGUGCCAGCAGCCGCGGUAAUACGUAGGGUGCAAGCGUUGUCCGGAAUUAUUGGGCGUAAAGAGCUCGUAGGCGGUUUGUCGCGUCUGCUGUGAAAUCCCGAGGCUCAACCUCGGGCUUGCAGUGGGUACGGGCAGACUAGAGUGCGGUAGGGGAGAUUGGAAUUCCUGGUGUAGCGGUGGAAUGCGCAGA